GGAGAGAUGGCUGAGUGGUUGAAGGCGCACGCUUGGAAAGCGUGUAAGUGGCGUAAGCUGCUUCGAGGGUUCGAAUCCCUCUCUCUCCGCCA
Molecule: transfer RNA, 92 nt
Filed under: Actinomycetes bacterium
Lineage: Bacteria; Bacillati; Actinomycetota; Actinomycetes
Also listed under: 3 other names
Description: Actinobacteria bacterium tRNA-Ser
Rfam family: tRNA
About the family: Transfer RNA (tRNA) molecules are approximately 80 nucleotides in length. Their secondary structure includes four short double-helical elements and three loops (D, anti-codon, and T loops).
Source: RNAcentral